This 253-nucleotide ribosomal RNA is filed under the name uncultured bacterium. RNAcentral describes it as "partial 16S ribosomal RNA". It matches the Rfam family "Bacterial small subunit ribosomal RNA", at positions 524 to 776 of the family's 1533-position model. The record is from RNAcentral.
UACGGGGGGGGCAAGCGUUGUUCGGAAUUACUGGGCGUAAAGGGCUCGUAGGCGGCCAACUAAGUCAGACGUGAAAUCCCUCGGCUCAACCGGGGAACUGCGUCCGAUACUGGCGGGCUUGAAUUCGGGAGAGGGAUGUGGAAUUCCAGGUGUAGCGGUGAAAUGCGUAGAUAUCUGGAGGAACACCGGUGGCGAAGGCGGCAUCCUGGACCGACAUUGACGCUGAGGCGCGAAAGCCAGGGGAGCAAACGGG